GUCUACGGCCAUACCACCCUGAACGCGCCCGAUCUCGUCUGAUCUCGGAAGCUAAGCAGGGUCGGGCCUGGUUAGUACUUGGAUGGGAGACUGAAAAGAAGACUUACAAAAUUUAGCCC
Molecule: ribosomal RNA, 119 nt
Organism: Myotis lucifugus (little brown bat)
Lineage: Eukaryota; Metazoa; Chordata; Mammalia; Chiroptera; Vespertilionidae
Source: Ensembl